GCCCCAGUAAACGGCGGCCGUAACUAUAACGGUCCUAAGGUAGCGAAAUUCCUUGUCGGGUAAGUUCCGACCCGCACGAAAGGCGCAACGAUCUGGGCACUGUCUCAACGAGAGACUCGGUGAAAUUAUAGUACCUGUGAAGAUGCAGGUUACCCGCGACAGGACGGAAAGACCCCGUGGAGCUUUACUGCAACCUGAUAUGGAAUGUUUGUACCGCUUGUACAGGAUAGGUAGGAGCCGAAGAGACGUGUGCGCUAGCAUACGAGGAGGCAAUGGUGGGAUACUACCCUGGCUGUAUGACCAUUCUAACCCGCCACGCUUAGCGCGUGGGGAGACAGUGUCAGGUGGGCAGUUUGACUGGGGCGGUCGCCUCCUAAAGAGUAACGGAGGCGCCCAAAGGUUCCCUCAGAAUGGAUGGAAAUCAUUCGCAGAGUGUAAAGGCACAAGGGAGCUUGACUGCGAGACUGACAAGUCGAGCAGGGACGAAAGUCGGGCUUAGUGAUCCGGUGGUUCCGCAUGGAAGGGCCAUCGCUCAACGGAUAAAAGCUACCCCGGGGAUAACAGGCUUAUCUCCCCCAAGAGUCCACAUCGACGGGGAGGUUUGGCACCUCGAUGUCGGCUCGUCGCAUCCUGGGGCUGUAGUCGGUCCCAAGGGUUGGGCUGUUCGCCCAUUAAAGCGGCACGCGAGCUGGGUUCAGAACGUCGUGAGACAGUUCGGUCCCUAUCCGUCGCGGGCGCAGGAAAUUUGAGAGGAGCUGUCCUUAGUACGAGAGGACCGGGAUGGACACACCGCUGGUGUACCAGUUGUUCCGCCAGGAGCAUCGCUGGGUAGCUAUGUGUGGCAGGGAUAAACGCUGAAAGCAUCUAAGCGUGAAGCCCCCCUCAAGAUGAGAUUUCCCAUUUCUUCGGAAAGUAAGAUCCCUGAAAGAUGAUCAGGUAGAUAGGUUUGGAGUGGAAGUGUAGCGAUACAUGGAGCGGACAAAUACUAAUCGAUCGAGGACUUAACCAAAAA
Molecule: ribosomal RNA, 1012 nt
Filed under: Listeria monocytogenes
Lineage: Bacteria; Bacillati; Bacillota; Bacilli; Caryophanales; Listeriaceae
Description: partial 23S ribosomal RNA
Rfam family: Bacterial large subunit ribosomal RNA
Source: RNAcentral